This 29-nucleotide transfer RNA is filed under the name Boechera stricta. RNAcentral's name for it is "partial tRNA-Leu". The record is from RNAcentral. RNAcentral also lists the same sequence under 4 other names. Lineage: Eukaryota; Viridiplantae; Streptophyta; Magnoliopsida; Brassicales; Brassicaceae.
AAAAUCCGUUGACUUUUUAAAUCGUGAGG